This 460-nucleotide ribosomal RNA is filed under the name uncultured bacterium. Its description in RNAcentral is "bacterial SSU rRNA". It matches the Rfam family "Bacterial small subunit ribosomal RNA", at positions 29 to 532 of the family's 1533-position model. The record is from RNAcentral.
AGCGAACGCUGGCGGCAGGCUUAACACAUGCAAGUCGAGCGGGCGUAGCAAUACGUCAGCGGCAGACGGGUGAGUAACGCGUGGGAACGUACCUUUUGGUUCGGAACAACACAGGGAAACUUGUGCUAAUACCGAAUAAGCCCUUACGGGGAAAGAUUUAUCGCCGAAAGAUCGGCCCGCGUCUGAUUAGCUAGUUGGUGAGGUAAUGGCUCACCAAGGCGACGAUCAGUAGCUGGUCUGAGAGGAUGAUCAGCCACAUUGGGACUGAGACACGGCCCAAACUCCUACGGGAGGCAGCAGUGGGGAAUAUUGGACAAUGGGGGCAACCCUGAUCCAGCCAUGCCGCGUGAGUGAUGAAGGCCCUAGGGUGUAAAGCUCUUUGUGCGGGAAGAUAAUGACGGUACCGCAAGAAUAAGCCCCGGCUAACUUCGUGCCAGCAGCCGCGGUAAAGUGACUACUG